AGCUCCUCCAACCAGAUGGGGAGGGAGAGUAUUUUGCAUUUUGCUCCAGCGGAGAGGGAAGGUCACCGUCCUACAGAGCAGCUUCAAGAGCAGCAUUUCCUCCUGGAUAGGCAGAGAGACACAGCAAAGGUAGUUCCUCUGGCAUCCUUGAAACAAGAAACCAAGAUUUUGAAUAUAUUUUACAGCUGCAAGAGUGGGAUCUGUAAGGAAAAGCAAAUCAAAGGACUCUUGAUAAUAUCAGGAGAGUUGCAAUACAGAUCGUGAAUCAGACAUGUGGCAGUUAUCUAAGCUUCUUCAUGCUAUCAGGCUUGUGUCCAUAAAGUAACAAAGUCAUCAUCUUGUCUGCUUGAAGAAGCUACUUAUGGCUUCCAAGAGCUGCUGUUGCAGACUGUCGGAUCAGGUGCAGCUGAUUGUGUUUCCAGACUGUUAGAGAGAGAAACGCUGGUCCCAACUCCGAUCGCAUUCGCUCUCUCCCAGUGGAGCUCCUUGGGGGAGAAGAAAGUGCCGUGGUCAGUGUUGUCAUGUGCAUGAUGAGAAUCAGGUUCAGGCCCCGAGUCUCAGUCAUUGUCUGUUCAAGAGCACCCAUCCUGCUUUCAUGCUAGAUAUGCUGCAGUAAUGGACAGAGGUUACCCUGGUCAUCCCCAAGCUUUUGGGGAGAAAGUGAAAGGUGAAUGCAGGCAUGACCUUGAUAGCAAGGCAGGGACUGAAACCCAGGGCUCCUGACUCCCCAGUCUCUGCCACAGCACCCUGCAUUUUUUGCAAAGCUGAGCCCUUUGUUCUCAAAAGCUGAUGCUGCAGUUCACUUCACCUUCUCUUGCUUAUGUUAUUAAGCUUAAAACUUCCACUAUUUGUGAUUCAGGCUAUGGUAAUUUAUAAUCACAAAAACAGCUGAAUUCAUCCUUCUGCUGUAUGUCUUGUCAUUAAAAGCACUCUAACUUUUAGCUAAUUGGCAGGGGUUACAUGCGGGCUUCGGAAAAGGGUAAAUCAUUACAGCUUCAUGCCUCGGCAGUCAAUUAUAGAUUGUUUUUCUAGCGUGGCCGUGUCGGCAGCCUGCAGCGCUGCAGCGAACACAAAAGGGGUAAGCAGUCUUUAACCAAAACGCCCUGACGUCACUCAUCAGCUUAAACCAGGACCCUGGAUCUCGAUGUGGAGCUUCAGCUCUGGGAGAGGCCAGACGUAGAUACAAGUCUGACUCUGAAAUGGAUAAUGUGAGCCUGGGUCUAAAGGGGUUAUGGUGCAGCAGGUCUGCUUUGCUCCAGUCUGCGGACACAAAGAAAAAUCCUCAGGUAGCAUGAAGCUUUCUUCUACCCCCUUCUCCCAGUGCACAGGAGGCCAGACUAGACAUCCUGCCUGACACCCCAGCAAGCCUCAGUUUCCAGGACAGCCCUGAGGGCUGUUAGCCAUCAGUAAGUUAGAGGGAUGCGUUAAUAGUUUAGGAUAGGCUGGGACACAGCCACGUGCAAUUUAUGCUACAGCUCAGCCAACUAUAAGCCACGGACAUUGGUAUUGUGGAACAGACACGUGUGGAUGCCUACACCAGCAUUUCCAAAGGUGCUCGUUAUUGCCUGUGUAACGAGGCCUGCCCCAGGGGUGGCCGUGACGCCCCCUGGCAGCCACUCAGCCUGUAUGUCCCCUGAUUCCUUAGAGCCUGCUCCCCUUCUACUCACUUGCCACUCUGGGCUGUAAAAAUACGUACUUAGAAAAGGGAGGCUGCCCCCAGGGAUCCCUGAGCAAGAUCUCAUCCGCUCAUGAGCUAUGAUCUAAUUGCUCAUCGCCUUAAGGGCUAGUUUUGUGGCCCUUCUAGCCAAGCCCAAGCCUCACAGAUGUUACCAAUCAACCAAUUCAUGCCCUACUCCUGGGCUCAGUCAAUUCAAUGGGCUCUCGGCCUCCAGUCUGCUAUCGCUCUGUAGCCCUGUCUCAAGUCCUGCUGCUGCCCUGCCCCUGGGCUCUGACCUUACCUUCAGGCCUCUCACACUUUCUCUGUCUUGUUUCUCGGCUCUGGCCCUGCUGGGACUUUUGUUCCCCUUAGUCCCUACCUAAACCACCAGUGUUCUCCGGGCAAAUCCACUUGCCUGGCCUGCGCCUGGGCUCAAGUGUAUCCCCGGUAUGAGUCAAGAGCUCCUCUGCAACUCCCUUUCUCAGGAGCUCUUCCUCCUAUGGCCUCCAGGGCUGCACUGCCUGCCUCAGCUCAGGCCCUGGGCUUAUAUACUCUCUAAGUCUAGCCCUCUUCCAGCCAGGUGCCUCUUCCCUUGAGUGCCACCUGAGCCCUGUCUGCAGCCUUUCUCCUCUGGAAGUAACAGGAGCACUAAGCUCCCCACUACACCACUUAAUUGAUCAUUCAUCUGCAACAGAACCAGGAUUUCUGGUCUAGACAGCACCAAUGUCAAUGCAGAAUACACAGCAACAGAAUAACUCACGCUCGAUGGGACAGUGGUGCUCUUAGCCAGACGUACGGGGUGUCUUCACAGCUGCAAAAGUGAAACCAAAGCUGGACUUCUUGUUCUGUGCCCUGUGUGCGUAGAUGUGGGGUUCACAUGAAGUAGGAAUUUGCCUUCUUCGCGGUACACAAAGCAGGCAUCUACGGAGCACAUCCAGGGAUGGCACUGCGUACCAUUCAAGUGCUGUGUUUGUGAACCCGCCACCUGUUACCGCAGCGCGGAUUGUGCAAGCAUCAUGGAACAGAGCAAAAGUGAGUCGAGCUGAGCUCUGCUAGGGACAGAGGGAUUGAAGCUUUGGCUGCACAGGGAACACGGACUCUUUGAAGCCACAGGCUACACAUAUUCCAACUGCAUUGCAUUAUGGUGCAGGAUAGAAAUGGGGCUAUCCUCACACAAGCUGAGGCCCCCCAUGGGUCUGUGCUAAGGCCUGUACUGUUUAACACAGUCAUAAACAAUUUGGGAAGAGGGGUGAGUGGUGAAAUGCUCAAGCUUGUGGGCGACAUGAAACUAUUAGUGCAGUGAAAACUAAAGUUGACUGUGAAGAGGUGAGGAGGGGUCUCAUGGUGAGCAAAUGGAGAACAAAAUGGCAGAAGAAGUCCAGUGUUGAUAAGUGCAAUGGGAUGCACAUAGGAAAAAAUAACCUGAGAUACCUGUGCACAAUGCUGUGCUCUACCAUAUCUGUUACUACUCAAAAAGGAAAGAGGUUGAUAAUUUAACCAGGUUCAGAUGGGAGAUUGGACAAAUCUAUGCAGGAUAGGUCUAUCAUUGAGGAUGAACCAGUACAGGUAUGGAUACAACCUCCAUCUUAGGGAUUCCCCAGGCUCUGAAUGUGGGAAAAUAUAGAGGAGACGGGUGGGAGGCAGAUGAGUCUGGAUCGGUCCUGGACAAACACCCUUUCCCUUAGCCUUCCCUCUCUGCCACUGUGGGAAGCAGGCUACCGAGCUAGAUGGACCUGUCCUAGAAAGACACGUCUUAUGUUCUCGAACUUAGAAUACCCUGCGGUUUGCCCCAGAGAGAACAGCAGCAACGGAGAAAGGGGGGGAAGCAGGUCAGUACAGCACUCUUUCUUCUGCACCAGAGCUGUGUCAAUGGUACCACGUGGAACAGGAGCAAAUUGGAUGCAUCGUGUGGGAACAAGAUCUUGGACACAGCACCAUGCAGUGGGUUAUUGUUCUAUGGAGGGUCACUGUCAUGAGUUAGCAUUUCCAUCACUUCUCCAUAACAAGCGAAGAAAGGAAUGAUUUCUUUCCAUUUCAGGGUCUUGGAGCAUAAUCAGGCCUCAGCCACAGUCCAUGUUGUCCUGCUCUCCCAACGCAGCUACCAUUUCUCAGUUCAGUUCAGGAAGGUCCCUGAGACAGCACAGCUUACAAUAACUUUUCACCAGGCUAGUUAUGGAGAUGGAAAGCCCUCACUGGCUGGAAAGCAACUGCAGUCCUGGGAUCUUCUGCUUUAAUGAAUCUUGAGCCCUCUUGUAGGUGACUAUAGAAGAAAAAUAAGACCUUGGCUGAGGGCUCAUGCUUGCAACCAUUUUCCAGCCUCAGAGGAUCUUAGAUCUUCCUCCCAAGCUCAGGAUGGAUCCACAGCACAGUGUUUGAAACAGUUUAUAAGUAACUCCAUGCUCC
Molecule: long non-coding RNA, 4060 nt
Organism: Gavialis gangeticus (Gharial)
Lineage: Eukaryota; Metazoa; Chordata; Crocodylia; Gavialidae
Exons: 2
Source: RefSeq, a predicted model, not a curated record